UACGUAGGCAGCGAGCGUUGUUCGGAGUUACUGGGCGUAAAGCGCGCGCAGGCGGCUCUUUAAGUCUGACGGUGAAAUGCCGGGGCUCAACCCCGUGCCCGCCGCGGAUACUGGAGGGCUGGAGACACGUAGAGGCAAGCGGAAUUCCGGGUGUAGCGGUGGAAUGCGUAGAGAUCCGGAAGAACACCGGAGGCGAAGGCGGCUUGCUGGGCGUAGUCUGACGCUGAGGCGCGAAAGCGUGGGGAGCGAACAGG
This 254-nucleotide ribosomal RNA is filed under the name uncultured bacterium. RNAcentral's name for it is "partial 16S ribosomal RNA". It matches the Rfam family "Bacterial small subunit ribosomal RNA", at positions 524 to 776 of the family's 1533-position model. The record is from RNAcentral.